Molecule: ribosomal RNA, 253 nt
Filed under: uncultured bacterium
Lineage: Bacteria
Description: partial 16S ribosomal RNA
Rfam family: Bacterial small subunit ribosomal RNA
Source: RNAcentral
GACGGAGGAUGCAAGUGUUAAUCGGAAUUACUGGGCGUAAAGCGUGCGCAGGCGGUUAUGCAAGACAGAUGUGAAAUCCCCGGGCUCAACCUGGGAACUGCAUUUGUGACUGUAUAGCUAGAGUACGGUAGAGGGGGAUGGAAUUCCGCGUGUAGCAGUGAAAUGCGUAGAUAUGCGGAGGAACACCGAUGGCGAAGGCAAUCCCCUGGACCUGUACUGACGCUCAUGCACGAAAGCGUGGGGAGCAAACAGG